Molecule: ribosomal RNA, 410 nt
Filed under: uncultured Nitrososphaerota archaeon
Lineage: Archaea; Thermoproteati; Nitrososphaerota
Description: bacterial SSU rRNA
Rfam family: Archaeal small subunit ribosomal RNA
Source: RNAcentral
UCUGGUGUCAGCCGCCGCGGUAAAACCAGCACCUCAAGUGGUCAGGAUGAUUAUUGGGCCUAAAGCAUCCGUAGCCGGCGCUGUAAGUUUUCGGUUAAAUCUGUACGCUCAACGUACAGGCUGCCGGGAAUACUGCAGCGCUAGGGAGUGGGAGAGGUAGACGGUACUCGGUAGGAAGGGGUAAAAUCCUUUGAUCUAUUGAUGACCACCUGUGGCGAAGGCGGUCUACCAGAACACGUCCGACGGUGAGGGAUGAAAGCUGGGGGAGCAAACCGGAUUAGAUACCCGGGUAGUCCCAGCUGUAAACUAUGCAAACUCAGUGAUGCAUUGGCUUGUGGCCAAUGCAGUGCUGCAGGGAAGCCGUUAAGUUUGCCGCCUGGGAAGUACGUACGCAAGUAUGAAACUUAAAG